This 312-nucleotide unclassified non-coding RNA is filed under the name Hevea brasiliensis (rubber tree). The record is from RNAcentral. Lineage: Eukaryota; Viridiplantae; Streptophyta; Magnoliopsida; Malpighiales; Euphorbiaceae.
ACUUAUCACUUGUUUAUUUGAAGGGCGAAAAGCUUAGACAGAUGUUUACGGCUUUAGCUCUAUGCCAUUCAGCCAUUUUUUUUUUCUUGUUCCAGUGGUUGGACGAGCUUCAUAAUCACUUGUUUACAUUAAUAUGUUCCUACAUGAAACUUACAAUUUGUUCAAGUGUAGACAUAAAGGUGUUGCAAAGUCUUUGUAGUUUGAUGGUUUCAUGAGUGUGUGUUUUGUAUAGUUGAUUGAUAUUUAUUACUCUGCAUGUAUUGAUAUGUUGCUAUACAUUUGUAUCUCAGUGAAAGGGAAAAAUCUCAUGAA